This 439-nucleotide ribosomal RNA is filed under the name uncultured marine bacterium. RNAcentral describes it as "bacterial SSU rRNA". It matches the Rfam family "Bacterial small subunit ribosomal RNA", at positions 505 to 943 of the family's 1533-position model. The record is from RNAcentral.
GUGCCAGCAGCCGCGGUAAUACGGAGGGUGCAAGCGUUAAUCGGAAUUACUGGGCGUAAAGCGCACGCAGGCGGUUUGUUAAGCUAGAUGUGAAAGCCCCGGGCUCAACCUGGGAUGGUCAUUUAGAACUGGCAGACUAGAGUCUUGGAGAGGGGAGUGGAAUUCCAGGUGUAGCGGUGAAAUGCGUAGAUAUCUGGAGGAACAUCAGUGGCGAAGGCGGCUCCCUGGCCAAAGACUGACGCUCAUGUGCGAAAGUGUGGGUAGCGAACAGGAUUAGAUACCCUGGUAGUCCACACCGUAAACGCUGUCUACUAGCUGUUUGCGACUUUAAGUUGUGAGUAGCGAAGCUAACGCGCUAAGUAGACCGCCUGGGGAGUACGGCCGCAAGGUUAAAACUCAAAUGAAUUGACGGGGGCCCGCACAAGCGGUGGAGCAUGUG